Vicia faba (fava bean) is the source of this 216-nucleotide non-coding RNA. The record is from the annotation of a GenBank genome assembly. NCBI's taxonomy places the organism in Eukaryota, Viridiplantae, Streptophyta, Magnoliopsida, Fabales, Fabaceae.
AUGCUUUGGCGGCUUUACACUUGUUCUUCGAUGACUCCACGUCCCAUCUGGGUGGUUUCCAUUAUAGUAUUAAAAAAAAGAGAAGAAAAGUCAAUAAUAGAACCAUCCUUUUUUCGAGUGAAUAAUUCUACCAAAAGCAAUUCCAGGUCCAAAUUUUUUGUGGCCAUUAGUGUGAUUCGCCAACUGUUUUGUUCACACCAUAACUCUGGUCUCUAG